This 1328-nucleotide long non-coding RNA is filed under the name Dromaius novaehollandiae (emu). Its description in RNAcentral is "lncRNA (ENSDNVG00000008793.1)". Lineage: Eukaryota; Metazoa; Chordata; Aves; Casuariiformes; Dromaiidae. The record is from RNAcentral.
UCUGGACAUUUCUUUGGAUCCUGUUAAAUCAGGAGCUUGAGUCCAACAACCUACAACUUGAGCCUUUACCUGAAUGCCUGGCUUUGUGUAAGCUAUGUGGUUUUGGAGGUGAGGACGGAGUUUACAAUGCAUGUCGCCAUGCCUUACUGGAGCUCCCACCCCUGAAACCAUGCUGGGGAGGCAUGGGGAGCGGGACUCGGAAUGCAAUCCGUUCUCGAUGCGGGCAAGCCGAGCCCGGCUGUGUUCGUGUGUCCGAGUAUCUUCGUGAUCCGGCUUGCAGAAUGCAAUACAUGUAACAGAGCAGAUCUGGAUCCCAACAUUACCACUAAAUCCACAAUUGCAAACACUUUCCAAAAUCGGGAAGUUCCUCACUGUACUAAAAAGAAUCAAAGAUAUCAGGUUUUCUUGAAGAAAAAUAUUAAUUAUUAGUAUAAGGCUGGGUCUUUGCUCUGGCAAAACUCAGAGUGAAGUUGACAGGGAUUUUGCCAAGGGGUGGUGGCAGAAUCAGGUCUAGCUGACUGUAAGCAUGGUUUCCCAAAAGCCCUGUGACAACUGAGACUGAUAUCACUUGCUAUGGUUACUGAUAAACAAAUGCAGCUACGUGGGCUACUUGAAGGGGCUUUCAAACCAAUUUGCAUGCUGUGCUUGGAAUCCUUUCCUGGCCUCCAGAAAAAUGAGAGUAUUCUCCUAAGCAUCAGGAGCAUCAGGAUCAGUGACUCCUUUUUUCAGUGGGCAAAUGAAGGACUCUCAUGCUUCUCUCCAAGAUCUUUCAAACAGUGGACUCUGGCUGAACCACUGACUCUGCCAAAAGCUGUCCUAUUUCAAAACUGGAGGAGUCAGAACCCAACAUUUCCUUCCUCCCUGUCCCAUGAAUGAAGCUGAAGAUGUCUUCUGCUCCCUCCAGAGACAGCAAACAAGAACCACUCCUUUUGGACUCUGCAGAUCAUAGAAUAAUUUUGAUUGGAAGGGACCUUGGGAGAUCUCUGGUCCUACCACCCUUGCCCAGAGCGGAAUUAACAUCAGUGUUAGAUCAGGUUGCUUAGAUCCAAAUAAGAUACUAAUUAGACUUCUCUGCUUUCUUGUGCACAUGUGCCAUUAUAUGUAGCUGUCCUGGACUCAAAAAGUAGCAUGCCUAAAGAGGUUGCACGGCUAGCCAUCAUGCCAUGAUCUGUUAUCUGCCAUGACACCUGUGCUGUGAUGAGUCUAGCAAAUACGGAUUUUUCGCUCAACAGACUGAUUUUGACUCUAACAGUUGUAUUCUCAUAUAACAUCAUUGUUCAGUUGUGCAAUUCAUGAUUCAAACCAUGCAGUUGUCAGAGGAACAAAUC